This is a non-coding RNA of Peromyscus maniculatus bairdii (prairie deer mouse), 922 nucleotides long. NCBI's taxonomy places the organism in Eukaryota, Metazoa, Chordata, Mammalia, Rodentia, Cricetidae. The record is from RefSeq and is a predicted model, not a curated record.
GCCUCCGGUGGUACACUAAUUUAAGCCGGUACAGGAGACUUAAAGCACACCGGAGGCGACGGGCCCAGCAUCACGUAGGCUCCCACGCCGGGCGGGGCGUUGCCCUAAGCCCCAACCUGCGGCACCGGCGACGGCCCCGCCCCGCUCAAGGGCGAAGUGAAGGUCAUCCGUAGGGUGGGCGGAAGGCAAGGACACCGGGCUUCAACCCUAAGCCUCCCUUCUUGUGCUGGGUUAGAACGAAGGAAAAUAAAACGUGACAUUUGGACUCCUCUAGGUCAGAGGGAAGAACGGAAAAGCAAAAGCAAAACCCAGCUCCGGGAACUGUCUGCAGACCUCAAGGCUUGGAGAGCAUGUAAGCUAUGGAAAUGUACGUCUGUCUACCUUCUAAUUCUAAUGAAGGAAUUAGCAUUGGAAACACCCCUGUCUGGGAACCCUAGUACCCCCACGUGUACCCAGGGCGAAGGGCCGGAGGCGUGAUUGGUCACCCCCAUCGCUUUUACAGUUUAAAUAUUCUCUUAGUUUAUCAAGUCCAAACAUCCUGGAAUCGGGUCUCUUCAGCUCUAAAAUCAACCUCGCCAUUGGUAGAAAAGGGAAGACUGCAGCCGGUGCUUGAUGAAAACACGAGGCGCUGCCUGACCGUCAACGCCACGCCCGGAGAGACCCCUGCGCGCCCCCAGCCGCGCUUCCCGCAGUGCAGCAGCAGGGAUGCAGCCUGAGCUGCGUGGGAGGCGGGACUGGACAGGAGGCGCUGCGGGGGACCCCGAUGUUUUUUCUACGAUGCCCAGGGAUUGGGGUGGGGCGAGUGCCUUGGCAUCCGAGUAGUCGCCCUGUUCCUAAUUUCAGGAAAGAACGCCUGGCUCUGUCUUAUAGACUCAGACACUAGACGACCCCUCAAUCAAUAAACCUGGAGAUGGAAAAAUUA